UCUCCACCCUCGGAUUCGUCUUUCCAAGAAAGACAGGGCGGCUGGCCCAAGUGGCCCGUCCUACCAUCGGAUUUUGGUGUUCUGGUGAUGCUCUCUCCAGUUGCACUGAUGCUUGCGGCUGCUGCUGCUGUUGUUUGGCCUACACAGCUUUAGUGAGACCUCUGACCUGCUGCACCAGUAGGUCAAAUUGCUCCGCGCCAACCGUCAUUGCUGGAGGAGGAGGAGGAGGCUAGAAAACUGGGGGUGAGGUCGGAGCCUGAGAUCUGGCCGCAGAGGCUGUGGAUCGCCGUGUGGAUGCUUUGCGGGGAGGCAUCGGGCGAAGACCUAGUGGGGGAAGGA
This 339-nucleotide long non-coding RNA is filed under the name Elaeis guineensis (African oil palm). RNAcentral's name for it is "long non-coding RNA (EGUI_LNC063199)". Lineage: Eukaryota; Viridiplantae; Streptophyta; Magnoliopsida; Arecales; Arecaceae. The record is from RNAcentral.